This 222-nucleotide long non-coding RNA is filed under the name Olea europaea (common olive). RNAcentral's name for it is "long non-coding RNA (OEUR_LNC012784)". Lineage: Eukaryota; Viridiplantae; Streptophyta; Magnoliopsida; Lamiales; Oleaceae. The record is from RNAcentral.
GUUAUCAAGGCAGUUGUUAAAGUAGCAUUAUCACGUUCCACGACUCAAGGAAUUCAAUCGAAAGCGGUUGAACGAUGAAAGAUAAUGGCAGCAGUUAAGAGGCAGUUUCAUGACAAAAUGGCCACUACAAAGAAAGUGGGAAGUUAUAGGACGAUCAAGCAGUUUUCAGGGUAGUUAAUCACAAAGAGAUCGUCUAGGAGGUAUAAAAGGGAGAAAGGACGC